RNAcentral lists this ribosomal RNA (410 nucleotides) under bacterium enrichment culture clone ALO1_GLFRUDD03FO1R2. RNAcentral's name for it is "bacterial SSU rRNA". It matches the Rfam family "Bacterial small subunit ribosomal RNA", at positions 9 to 419 of the family's 1533-position model. RNAcentral also lists the same sequence under 2 other names. The record is from RNAcentral.
GAGUUUGAUCGUGGCUCAGAUUGAACGCUGGCGGCAUGCCUUACACAUGCAAGUCGAACGGCAGCACGGGAGCUUGCUCCUGGUGGCGAGUGGCGAACGGGUGAGUAAUGCAUCGGAACGUAUCCUGGAGUGGGGGAUAACGUAGCGAAAGUUACGCUAAUACCGCAUAUUCUGUGAGCAGGAAAGCGGGGGACCUUCGGGCCUCGCGCUCUUGGAGCGGCCGAUGUCGGAUUAGCUAGUUGGUGAGGUAAAGGCUCACCAAGGCGACGAUCCGUAGCAGGUCUGAGAGGAUGAUCUGCCACACUGGAACUGAGACACGGUCCAGACUCCUACGGGAGGCAGCAGUGGGGAAUUUUGGACAAUGGGGGCAACCCUGAUCCAGCCAUGCCGCGUGAGUGAAGAAGGCCUUC